CUUGAUCGAGCCGAGCAGCAGCGGCCGGUCCGCGGGACGGUCCUGCCCGUACGUGGCCAGCAGCGCCUGGGCCUC
Non-coding RNA from Streptomyces sp. C, 75 nucleotides. The record is from Rfam. NCBI's taxonomy places the organism in Bacteria, Bacillati, Actinomycetota, Actinomycetes, Kitasatosporales, Streptomycetaceae.